RNAcentral lists this transfer RNA (75 nucleotides) under Mycobacterium intracellulare subsp. chimaera. RNAcentral's name for it is "Mycobacterium chimaera tRNA-Asn". It matches the Rfam family "tRNA". Rfam says of the family: Transfer RNA (tRNA) molecules are approximately 80 nucleotides in length. The record is from RNAcentral. Lineage: Bacteria; Bacillati; Actinomycetota; Actinomycetes; Mycobacteriales; Mycobacteriaceae.
UCCCCGGUCGGUUAACCGGUAAACCAGCGGACUGUUAAUCCGUGACUGUAGGUUCGAGUCCUGCCCGGGGAGCCG